AUCGUACCCCAAACCGACACAGGUGGUCAGGUAGAGAAUACCAAGGCGCUUGAGAGAACUCGGGUGAAGGAACUAGGCAAAAUGGUGCCGUAACUUCGGGAGAAGGCACGCUGGUGUGUAGGUGAAGUCCCUGCGGGUGGAGCUGAGACCAGUCGAAGAUACCAGCUGGCUGCAACUGUUUAUUAAAAACACAGCACUGUGCAAACACGAAAGUGGACGUAUACGGUGUGACGCCUGCCCGGUGCCGGAAGGUUAAUUGAUGGG
This 264-nucleotide ribosomal RNA is filed under the name Klebsiella pneumoniae. Its description in RNAcentral is "partial 23S ribosomal RNA". It matches the Rfam family "Bacterial large subunit ribosomal RNA", at positions 1641 to 1888 of the family's 2925-position model. The record is from RNAcentral. RNAcentral also lists the same sequence under 1 other name. Lineage: Bacteria; Pseudomonadati; Pseudomonadota; Gammaproteobacteria; Enterobacterales; Enterobacteriaceae.